GGCUCAGAUUGAACGCUGGCGGCAUGCCUUACACAUGCAAGUCGAACGGCUGCACGGGGCAACCUGGUGGCGAGUGGCGAACGGGUGAGUAAUGCAUCGGAACGUGCCAUUGAGUGGGGGAUAACGUAGCGAAAGUUGCGCUAAUACCGCAUAUUCUGUGAGCAGGAAAGCAGGGGACCGCAAGGCCUUGCGCUCUUUGAGCGGCCGAUGUCAGAUUAGCUAGUUGGUGAGGUAACGGCUUACCAAGGCGACGAUCUGUAGCGGGUCUGAGAGGAUGAUCCGCCACACUGGAACUGAGACACGGUCCAGACUCCUACGGGGGGCAGCAGUGGGGAAUUUUGGACAAUGGGCGCAAGCCUGAUCCAGCCAUGCCGCGUGAGUGAAGGAGGCCUUCGGGUUGUAAAGCUCUUUCGGCCGGGAAGAAAUCGCAUGGGUUAAUACCCUGUGUGGAUGACGGUACCGGAAUAAGAAGCACCGGCUAACUACGUG
This 489-nucleotide ribosomal RNA is filed under the name uncultured bacterium. RNAcentral's name for it is "bacterial SSU rRNA". It matches the Rfam family "Bacterial small subunit ribosomal RNA", at positions 21 to 507 of the family's 1533-position model. The record is from RNAcentral.